UACGGGGCGCACCAGUCGCGAAAACUUUGCAAUACACGAAAGUGUGACAGGGUCAUCCCGAGUGCCAUCCGCUGAGGGUGGCUUUUACCCAGUCUAGGAAGCUGGGAGAAUAAGGAGAGGGCAAGUCUGGUGUCAGCCGCCGCGGUAA
This 148-nucleotide ribosomal RNA is filed under the name uncultured archaeon. RNAcentral's name for it is "partial 16S ribosomal RNA". It matches the Rfam family "Archaeal small subunit ribosomal RNA", at positions 324 to 473 of the family's 1478-position model. The record is from RNAcentral.